RNAcentral lists this ribosomal RNA (490 nucleotides) under uncultured bacterium. RNAcentral's name for it is "partial 16S ribosomal RNA". It matches the Rfam family "Bacterial small subunit ribosomal RNA", at positions 30 to 507 of the family's 1533-position model. The record is from RNAcentral.
AUUGAACGCUGGCGGCAUGCCUUACACAUGCAAGUCGAACGGCAGCAUGAUCUAGCUUGCUAGAUUGAUGGCGAGUGGCGAACGGGUGAGUAAUACAUCGGAACGUGCCCUGUAGUGGGGGAUAACUAGUCGAAAGAUUAGCUAAUACCGCAUACGACCUGAGGGUGAAAGUGGGGGACCGCAAGGCCUCGUGCUAUAGGAGCGGCCGAUGUCUGAUUAGCUAGUUGGUGAGGUAAAGGCUCACCAAGGCGACGAUCAGUAGCUGGUCUGAGAGGACGAUCAGCCACACUGGGACUGAGACACGGCCCAGACUCCUACGGGAGGCAGCAGUGGGGAAUUUUGGACAAUGGGCGAAAGCCUGAUCCAGCAAUGCCGCGUGUGUGAAGAAGGCCUUCGGGUUGUAAAGCACUUUUGUCCGGAAAGAAAUGGCUCUGGUUAAUACCUGGGGUCGAUGACGGUACCGGAAGAAUAAGAACCGGCUAACUACGUG